Anthonomus grandis grandis is the source of this 546-nucleotide long non-coding RNA. RefSeq lists it as uncharacterized. The transcript has 2 exons. The record is from RefSeq and is a predicted model, not a curated record. Lineage: Eukaryota; Metazoa; Arthropoda; Insecta; Coleoptera; Curculionidae.
AGAGGUUUUGCUAACUUAGAGUACUAUCAACCAAACCCGAUUAGAACCCUAUAUUGCAUUUGGAAAAUAAAAAUAAUGGAGAUGGCGCUUACCAAUUUGCUUAUGAAACUGGAAACAAGAUUGCUCAGCAGGAAUCUGGAGAUGGUCAAAAAGCCGAAGGUUCUUACGCAUAUGUAGCUUCAGAUGGUCAACAACUCUCUAUGUCCUAUGUGCUGCUAAUGCUACUGGCUUCCACCCACAUGGUUCCCAUAUGCCAGUGGCUCCACCAAUACCAGAACUCAUCAAACGUGUUGUGGAACAAAACCUGGCUGUCGAAGCUAGAGGAAUUAUUGAUGAUGGUCAAUAUCGCGAAACGCAAGCUCAUUUGCCUGCACCUGUUUUACCGGUACAAUACAUGGUUUAGCGUUAUGUGAUAUAUUUUGAUGACUUUGUGGCCCUUAAUGUUGUAGAUAUAAUAUGAGUGUAUAAAGGAUUAUAUUUCUAUUAUAUAGAUAUUUAUAUGUACUCUGAUAUAACAAUUUCAACUAAAUAAAAUAUUUUAAAAAC